Molecule: long non-coding RNA, 1246 nt
Organism: Amborella trichopoda
Lineage: Eukaryota; Viridiplantae; Streptophyta; Magnoliopsida; Amborellales; Amborellaceae
Source: RefSeq, a predicted model, not a curated record
AGCAUUGGCUUGAAAAGCUUCGAACCCUAAUAAAUUUCAACCAUAACCCUUCCUCCUGUGUGCUCUGCGGACCAGAGAGCUUCAUUGAGAAGCUCCCUCUCUCUCGCUCGCCAUCAUCUCUUGGGGUGACUACAAAUUCUCUGCGUCCUCUCUCUCUAAACUCAGGCGCUCUCCCUCCUCAUUCGCUCUAGGAAUUUUAGCCAUACCCCCUCUUCCUACGUGCUCUGCGAACCGCAUAGCUUCAAUGAGAAUCUCCCUCUCUCUUGGUCGCCAUCGUUUCUCCGGGCGACUACAAAUGCUCUGCAUCCUCUCUCUCUAAAUUUUAGCCGCUCUACCCGCUCAUUCGUUCUAGUAAGCUUCUUGUAGCUACUGGCAUCUCAAGGAGGUAGCACGCUGAGGAAAAACCAACCCAAGACGACUCACCAUUAGGGCACUGAAAACGGUAUACUAUACAUGUGUCAUGGACGCCUCAACAUCAGCAUCUCCUUCCUCUCCUGUUGACCUUACUAGUUCAAAAAAUGGGCACGAGUGUGGUGCACAGGCUAUGGUAGAUGAAGCUUGCCAUGAUUUUCCAUUUGAUGAGGAUAGUUGCAAUAGUUGGACAAGGAGAUCCUAUAUUUAUAAAUGCAUAGGCAGCCCUAGCAAGAGGUGCAAGUAUCAAACCGGCAAUGGGAAUGAUAUUUACUGACAAAGAUGAAGCUUCUUAUUAUUAUAAUAAGUACACAAAAUUCGUAGGGUUUGGUAUAAGAAAGAGAAGGACCAUAUGGAAAUAUGGUGAAAAAAUUGGUCAGAUAGAAUGUUGUAGGCAAGGUUUUCGUAGUGAGAUGUAUAAUGGGAGUGAAAAUGCUCGGCCCCACACAAAAUGUGGAUGUCAGGCAAAGAUCCGCAUUAAGAAGAAUGAGAAGUAGAGAUGGGUUAUUGCAAAGUUUAUAAAAGAAUAUAAUCAUAUUCUCACAACGCCCAACAAGACUAGAUUUAUUCGCUCUCAUCAAAAGAUACCAAACACAUUGAAAACGGUGAUUGACACAUUGGAGUCGUCUAUAGCUAAGUCUAGGAUUACAAUGGAUAACCUUAUUGAAGAGGCCGGCGGCGUAGAAAAUGUCCCUUUCAUUGAGAAAGACCUUGAGAAUCACAUAACUAGAAAGAGAAAAUAACUGAAAGGAAAAGAGGGUAAUGUUGUUAUGAACUAGUUGCAUACGAAGAAAGAAUUGGACCCCAACUUCUUUUAUAGAGUUUGACUUGAUGA